AAAGGUUCGAGUGACUGCGGAAGGAUCAUUACAGAAUAAACUUGGUGGGUUGUAGCUGGCUCUCUCGGGAGCAUGUGCACGCCUGGUCACCUUUAUCUUUCCACCUGUGCACCCUUUGUAGACUUGGAAUUCAAACCCUUCUGAAAGGCUCGCUUUUUAGUAUGAGGGAUUGCCAUCGGGCUUCCCUUGUGGGUUUCAAGUCUAUGUUUUUCAUAUACCCCAUAGUAAAAUCUUAGAAUGUAAUCAAAGGCCUCUGUGCCUAUAAAAAGUUAUACAACUUUCAGCAACGGAUCUCUUGGCUCUCGCAUCGAUGAAGAACGCAGCGAAAUGCGAUAAGUAAUGUGAAUUGCAGAAUUCAGUGAAUCAUCGAAUCUUUGAACGCACCUUGCGCUCCUUGGUAUUCCGAGGAGCAUGCCUGUUUGAGUGUCAUUAAAUUCUCAACCUUAUCAUCUUCGAUGGCAAGGCUUGGACUUGGGGGAUUAGCGGGCUUCCCUUUUUGAAGUCGGCUCCCCUUAAAUGAAUUAGCGGGAAAACGAAACCGUCUAUUGGUGUGAUAAUUAUCUACGCCGUUGUGACUACUUUUCAAGUUUCUGCUUCAAACCGUCCUUAGGGACAAUCAUUAAUGAUCAUUUGACCUCAAAUCAGGUAGGACUACCCGCUGAACUUAAGCAUAUCAAUA
This 679-nucleotide ribosomal RNA is filed under the name uncultured Bolbitiaceae. Its description in RNAcentral is "eukaryotic LSU rRNA". The stretch from base 276 to 429 matches the Rfam family "5.8S ribosomal RNA". Lineage: Eukaryota; Fungi; Basidiomycota; Agaricomycetes; Agaricales; Bolbitiaceae. The record is from RNAcentral.